RNAcentral lists this ribosomal RNA (253 nucleotides) under uncultured bacterium. RNAcentral describes it as "partial 16S ribosomal RNA". It matches the Rfam family "Bacterial small subunit ribosomal RNA", at positions 524 to 776 of the family's 1533-position model. The record is from RNAcentral.
UACGAAGGGGGCUAGCGUUGCUCGGAAUCACUGGGCGUAAAGGGUGCGUAGGCGGGUCUUUAAGUCAGGGGUGAAAUCCUGGAGCUCAACUCCAGAACUGCCUUUGAUACUGAAGAUCUUGAGUGCGGGAGAGGUGAGUGGAACUGCGAGUGUAGAGGUGAAAUUCGUAGAUAUUCGCAAGAACACCAGUGGCGAGGGCGGCUCACUGGCCCGAUACUGACGCUGAGGCACGAAAGCGUGGGGAGCAAACAGG